RNAcentral lists this unclassified non-coding RNA (353 nucleotides) under Hevea brasiliensis (rubber tree). The record is from RNAcentral. Lineage: Eukaryota; Viridiplantae; Streptophyta; Magnoliopsida; Malpighiales; Euphorbiaceae.
GCAGCUCUGGAGAAUUCUCAGCAAAACUUGAGUCAAAAUACAUAAAAAAGGAACAUAUAAAAUAAGCAAUAAAUGUACCAACUGAAAACAUAAUAUUAGAAAGAAAAUUCCUUCUUUGAUGAUCAAAAUCUGACAGAAGAUUAAGAGGGGAAAGGACCAUUCAUUGAAUCACAUUCAUAAUCUCGAAGAAAAGAAACUAUAAAUUAACUUUCCCUUAAGAUGAAAAUUUUUACACCAAGAACCAACCCUCUUACAGAUUUUGCAAAAUAGUUGAAAGAAAAAGAAUGUUCCAAGAAAAAGACAGUGAACUUGAAGAAUAUCUAAUGAUAAAUUCCUCUAAUAUAUUCGAAAGG